UAGGGAAUCUUCCGCAAUGGACGCAAGUCUGACGGAGCAACGCCGCGUGCGUGAAGAAGGACUUCGGUUCGUAAAACUCUGUUGUUAGAGAAGAACAGCGCAUAGAGUAACUGUUAUGCGUGUGACGGUAUCUAACCAGAAAGCCACGGCUAACUACGUGCCAGCAGCCGCGGUAAUACGUAGGUGGCAAGCGUUGUCCGGAUUUAUUGGGCGUAAAGCGAGCGCAGGCGGUCAAUUAAGUCUGAUGUGAAAGCCCCCGGCUCAACCGGGGAGGGUCAUUGGAAACUGGUGGACUUGAGUCCAGAAGAGGGGGGGGGAAUUCGAUGUGUAGCGGUGAAAUGCGUAGAUAUAUGGAGGAACACCAGUGGCGAAGGCGACUCACUGGUCUGUAACUGACGCUGAGGCUCGAAAGCGGGGGUAGCAAACAGG
This 429-nucleotide ribosomal RNA is filed under the name Bacteroidota bacterium. RNAcentral's name for it is "Bacteroidetes bacterium partial 16S ribosomal RNA". It matches the Rfam family "Bacterial small subunit ribosomal RNA", at positions 355 to 776 of the family's 1533-position model. Lineage: Bacteria; Pseudomonadati; Bacteroidota. The record is from RNAcentral.